This 469-nucleotide ribosomal RNA is filed under the name uncultured bacterium. RNAcentral describes it as "bacterial SSU rRNA". It matches the Rfam family "Bacterial small subunit ribosomal RNA", at positions 28 to 507 of the family's 1533-position model. The record is from RNAcentral.
GAUGAACGCUGGCGGCGUGCCUAAUACAUGCAAGUCGAACGAGGUGCUUUUGUAGCAAUACGAGAGUAUCCUAGUGGCGAACGGGUGAGUAACGCGUUGGUGACCUACCCCAAAGUGUGGGAUAACAGUCCGAAAGGAUUGCUAAUACCGCAUGUGGUCUUCGGAUUUAGAAACUGAUGACUAAAGGAGCAAUUCGCUUUGGGAGGGACCUGCGUCCCAUCAGCUAGUUGGUGAGGUAAUGGCUCACCAAGGCUACGACGGGUAGGGGACCUGAGAGGGUGACCCCCCACAAUGGAACUGAAACACGGUCCAUACACCUACGGGUGGCAGCAGUAGGGAAUAUUGCACAAUGGGCGAAAGCCUGAUGCAGCAACGCCGCGUGUGCGAUGAAGGCCUUCGGGUCGUAAAGCACUUUUCUGGGAGAUGAGCAAGGACAGUAUCUCAGGAAUAAGUCUCGGCUAACUACGUG